RNAcentral lists this small RNA (92 nucleotides) under Rhizobium mongolense. RNAcentral describes it as "sRNA Atu_Ti1". It matches the Rfam family "Rhizobiales sRNA Atu_Ti1". Lineage: Bacteria; Pseudomonadati; Pseudomonadota; Alphaproteobacteria; Hyphomicrobiales; Rhizobiaceae. The record is from RNAcentral.
GUCCAGACUGCGGCGGACCACACCCAAAAGCCUCCUAAGGCGAUUGCGACAGCUGGCCAUAUGCGGGUUACGAGGCUCGCAAGGCCGGCUGU